This 497-nucleotide ribosomal RNA is filed under the name uncultured bacterium. Its description in RNAcentral is "partial 16S ribosomal RNA". It matches the Rfam family "Bacterial small subunit ribosomal RNA", at positions 28 to 507 of the family's 1533-position model. The record is from RNAcentral.
GACGAACGCUGGCGGCGUGCCUAAUACAUGCAAGUCGAGCGCUGAAGGUUGGUACUUGUACCAACUGGAUGAGCAGCGAACGGGUGAGUAACGCGUGGGGAAUCUGCCUUUGAGCGGGGGACAACAUCUGGAAACGAAUGCUAAUACCGCAUAAAAACUUUAAACACAUGUUUUAAGAUUGAAAGAUGCAAUUGCAUCACUCAAUGAUGAUCUCGCGUUGUAUUAGCUAGUUGGUGAGGUAAAGGCUCACCAAGGCGAUGAUACAUAGCCGACCUGAGAGGGGGGUCGGCCACAAUGGGACUUGGACACGGCCCAAACUCCUUCGGGAAGCAGCAGGAAGGGAUCUUCGGGAAAUGACGGAAGUCUGACCGGGGAACGGCGGGGGGAGUGAUAAGGGUUUCGGAACGGAAAACUCUUUUGAUAAGGGAGAACGAAGGGGGGAGUGGAAAGCUCAUCAAGUGACGGUAACUACCCAGAAAGGGACGGCUAACUACGUG